GAUGAAGAACGUAGCAAAAUGCGAUAAGUAGUGUGAAUUGCAGAAUUCAGUGAAUCAUCGAAUCUUUGAACGCACAUUGCGCCCGCUAGUAUUCUGGCGGGCAUGCCUGUUCGAGCGUCAUUUCAACCAUCAAGCCCUAGGCUUGCGUUGGAGCCCUGCGGCUGCCGCAGGCUCCCAAAUCCAGUGGCGGGCUCGUCGUCGUACCGAGUGCAGUAAACAUCCUCGCUCAGGGAACGUGACGGGUUCUUGCCGUGAAACCCCCCACAUAUCAAGGUUGACCUCGGAUCAGGUAGGAAUACCCGCUGAACUUAAGCAUAUCAAUAAGCGGAGGA
Molecule: unclassified non-coding RNA, 332 nt
Filed under: soil metagenome
Description: partial contains 5.8S ribosomal RNA, internal transcribed spacer 2, and large subunit ribosomal RNA
Rfam family: 5.8S ribosomal RNA (bases 1-120)
Source: RNAcentral